RNAcentral lists this ribosomal RNA (300 nucleotides) under uncultured Actinobacillus sp. Its description in RNAcentral is "bacterial SSU rRNA". The stretch from base 52 to 300 matches the Rfam family "Bacterial small subunit ribosomal RNA", at positions 547 to 795 of the family's 1533-position model. The record is from RNAcentral. Lineage: Bacteria; Pseudomonadati; Pseudomonadota; Gammaproteobacteria; Pasteurellales; Pasteurellaceae.
GCGAAGAGCGGGCAGGGUGCGGGGGGAAGACGGAGAGUGGAAGCAAAUAGCGGGAUGAGUGGGCGGAAAGGGAGCGUAGGCGGAGAUAUAAGUCAGAUGUGAAAUUCCGAAGCGCAACUUCGGAGCUGCAGUUGAAACUAUAAAUCUCGAGGAUUGACGGAGAAAACGGAAUUCCACGUGUAGCGGUGAAAUGCGUAGAUAUGUGGAAGAACACCUGUGGCGAAAGCGGUUUUCUAGUUUAUACCUGACGCUGAGGCGCGAGAGCAAGGGGAGCAAACAGGAUUAGAGACCCGAGUAGUC